Molecule: ribosomal RNA, 465 nt
Filed under: uncultured bacterium
Lineage: Bacteria
Description: partial 16S ribosomal RNA
Rfam family: Bacterial small subunit ribosomal RNA
Source: RNAcentral
CCUACGGGAGGCAGCAGUGGGGAAUAUUGCGCAAUGGGCGAAAGCCUGACGCAGCGACGCCGCGUGAGGGAUGAAGGUCUUCGGAUCGUACACCUCUGUCAGCAGGGAAGAACGGUCACUGUGCUAAUCAGCAGUGAAUUGACGGUACCUGCAAAGGAAGCACCGGCUAACUCCGUGCCAGCAGCCGCGGUAAGACGGAGGGUGCGGGCGUUAAUCGGAAUUACUGGGCGUAAAGCGCUCGUAGGCGGUAUGUCAAGUCAAGGGUGAAAUCCCCUCGCGCAACGUGGGAACUGCAUUGGAAACUGGCAAACUGGAGUGUGUGAGAGGAUAGUGGAAUUCCAGGUGUAGGAGUGAAAUCCGUAGAUAUCUGGAGGAACAUCAGUGGCGAAGGCGACUAUCUGGCACAUAACUGACGCUGAGGAGCGAAAGCGUGGGUAGCAAACAGGAUUAGAUACCCCAGUAGUC